GGGGAUAGCCCGGCGAAAGCCGGAUUAAUACCGCAUACGAUCUACGGAAGAAAGCGGGGGAUCUUCGGACCUCGCGCUAUAGGGGCGGCCGAUGGCAGAUUAGCUAGUUGGUGGGGUAAAGGCCUACCAAGGCGACGAUCUGUAGCUGGUCUGAGAGGACGACCAGCCACACUGGGACUGAGACGCGGCCCAGACUCCUACGGGAGGCAGCAGUGGGGAAUUUUGGACAAUGGGGGCAACCCUGAUCCAGCAAUGCCGCGUGUGUGAAGAAGGCCUUCGGGUUGUAAAGCACUUUUGUCCGGAAAGAAAACCUCUUGGUUAAUACCUGAGGGGGAUGACGGUACCGGAAGAAUAAGCACCGGCUAACUACGUGCCAGCAGCCGCGGUAAUACGUAGGGUGCGAGCGUUAAUCGGAAUUACUGGGCGUAAAGCGUGCGCAGGCGGUCUGUUAAGACCGAUGUGAAAUCCCCGGGCUUAACCUGGGAACUGCAUUGGUGACUGGCAGGCUUUGAGUGUGGCAGAGGGAGGUAGAAUUCCACGUGUAGCAGUGAAAUGCGUAGAGAUGUGGAGGAAUACCGAUGGCGAAGGCAGCCUCCUGGGCCAACAUUGACGCUCAUGCACGAAAGCGUGGGGAGCAAACAGGAUUAGAUACCCUGGUAGUCCACGCCCUAAACGAUGUCAACUAGUUGUUGGGGGAUUCAUUUCCUUAGUAACGUAGCUAACGCGUGAAGUUGACCCAGACCUAAAUAGCUUG
RNAcentral lists this ribosomal RNA (754 nucleotides) under uncultured bacterium. Its description in RNAcentral is "bacterial SSU rRNA". It matches the Rfam family "Bacterial small subunit ribosomal RNA", at positions 139 to 884 of the family's 1533-position model. The record is from RNAcentral.